AUCAUGGCUCAGGAUGAACGCUGGCGGCGUGUCUAAGGCAUGCAAGUCGAGCGGAUCAUCUUCGGUAGCAAUACUGGAGAUGGUCAGCGGCAAACGGGUGCGGUAACACAUUGGUAAUCUACCUCGCAGUCGGGCAUUAACACCGCGAAAGCGGUGCUAAUUCCACGAUGGUCUCAGCUUCGUAAAGGAGUUGAGUAAAGCGCAAAACGCGCUGCGAGAGGAGCCUAUGGCCUAUCAGCUUGUUGGUGAGGUAACGGCUCACCAAGGCUAUGACGGGUAGGGGAUGUGAGAGCAUGAUCCCCCCUCACUGGAACUGAGACACUGUCCAGACACCUACGGGUGGCUGCAGUCGAGAAUAUUCCCCAAUGGACGAAAGUCUGAGGGAGCGACGCCCCCGCGUGCAGGACGAAGGGCUUUGGCUCGUAAACUGCUUUUUUCAGGGAAGAAUCAUGACGGUACCUGAAGAGUAAGAGGUUGCUAACUCUGUG
RNAcentral lists this ribosomal RNA (488 nucleotides) under uncultured bacterium. Its description in RNAcentral is "bacterial SSU rRNA". It matches the Rfam family "Bacterial small subunit ribosomal RNA", at positions 16 to 507 of the family's 1533-position model. The record is from RNAcentral.